This is a non-coding RNA of Rattus norvegicus (Norway rat), 547 nucleotides long. Lineage: Eukaryota; Metazoa; Chordata; Mammalia; Rodentia; Muridae. The record is from RefSeq and is a predicted model, not a curated record.
GCAAAAGGAAGUCAUCUGGCUACAAGGAAACAUAUACUGGAUGGUAAAAGGGCAUCCUGCAAUAUGGAAAUUCCCUUCUGCCUCAUACUCUUUUUUUUUUUUUUUGGUUCUUUUUUUCGGAGCUGGGGACCGAACCCAGGGCCUUGCGCUUCCUAGGAAAUGCCACCUGAAACUCUUGCAUUACAUCAGCCAAGGUUUUUGCUGCAAGGUGGGGAAGUGCAAACAGAAUAGACAUGACCAGAGAAUUCAUGAUCGAAGUCAAAGUGGAGGAUAGAAACUGCCAUCAUAGAAACCAUGUGGGGCUGCACAUUCCAAGCAUUUGAAACUGUCCCCAUUCCAAGUUCCAAGGAAACAGACCACAUCCACACUCUCCACCCUAUGUCAACAUGCUCUACCAUAGUCUUCUCAUCUCUUUUGUUUGGUUAUCUUCAAAAGAAAAAGUUGAAUAAAUAUUUGAAGAUAAGCUCAGAAUCAAGAGGACUUUCCCUUUUGUUCUUCUAUAAAUUGAAAGACAUAUAUGUUUAUAAAAAUAAAAGUAAAAAUACCA